RNAcentral lists this ribosomal RNA (500 nucleotides) under uncultured cyanobacterium. RNAcentral's name for it is "bacterial SSU rRNA". It matches the Rfam family "Bacterial small subunit ribosomal RNA", at positions 356 to 867 of the family's 1533-position model. The record is from RNAcentral. Lineage: Bacteria; Bacillati; Cyanobacteriota.
GGGGAAUUUUCCGCAAUGGGCGAAAGCCUGACGGAGCAACNGCCGCGUGAGGGGAGGAAGGGCCUGUGGGUUGUAAACCUCUUUUCUCAGGGAAGAAGUUCUGACGGUACCUGAGGAAUCAGCAUCGGCUAACUCCGUGCCAGCAGCCGCGGUAAGACGGAGGAUGCAAGCGUUAUCCGGAAUUAUUGGGCGUAGAGCGUCCGUAGGCGGUUCAGAAAGUCUGCUGUUAAAGCUCACAGCUCAACUGUGAAUCGGCAGUGGAAACUUCUGGACUAGAGAGUGGUAGGGGUAGAGGGAAUUCCUAGUGUAGCGGUGAAAUGCGUAGAUAUUAGGAAGAACACCAGUGGCGAAGGCGCUCUACUGGGCCAUUACUGACGCUGAUGGACGAAAGCUAGGGGAGCGAAAGGGAUUAGAUACCCCUGUAGUCCUAGCUGUAAACGAUGGACACUAGGUGUUGGCCGUAUCGACCCGGUCAGUAUCGAAGCAAACGCGUUAAGUGU